This 18-nucleotide unclassified non-coding RNA is filed under the name Chlamydomonas reinhardtii. Its description in RNAcentral is "small RNA Cre_1999". The record is from RNAcentral. Lineage: Eukaryota; Viridiplantae; Chlorophyta; Chlorophyceae; Chlamydomonadales; Chlamydomonadaceae.
GUACGCCGCUGACUGGGC